This is a long non-coding RNA of Bactrocera dorsalis (oriental fruit fly), 7695 nucleotides long. RefSeq lists it as uncharacterized. The transcript is spliced from 2 exons. The record is from RefSeq and is a predicted model, not a curated record. NCBI's taxonomy places the organism in Eukaryota, Metazoa, Arthropoda, Insecta, Diptera, Tephritidae.
UAUUUAAAUAGGAAGGGCUUCUACAGCAUUAAUGUCGAAGCGGUAUGUGAUCACCGUUUAUGCUUCACGUUUCUAAGUGCUAAAUUUCCGGGUGCGACACAUGACUCUGGAAUUUGGGCAACUUCUGACCUACGAGAGCAUCUCAUUCGUCAACACACCAAUGACUCUGUAGGGCAACGAAGGUAGUCGUGGCUGAUUGGUGACCAAGGUUACCCUUUAGAACCUUGGCUCUUAACACCGGUCGGAAAUCCUAGUACUUCUCAAGAGCGAAAGUAUAAUAAGCUAUAUUGUACUGCCAGAAAUUGUGUUGAAAGAGCGUUCGGAGUUUUAAAAUCGUGCUUCAGAUGUUUGCAUGUUAUUCCCAUGAAACGUCCGCAUUAAUAAUAAGCAGUUGUGUUAUACUGCAUAAUAUAAUUACGAAAUCUGGUAUCACCAUGGACGCGGUGGACAACGAGGUUGAAGAAGACUCUGACCAUGUAGUUAAUUCCGGUGACUCUUUGCAGUAUACACGAGAAGGUGAAAGGAUAAGGGCAAGAUAUAUAUCUACACUUUAACACAUUAUUACACUAUACACUACAUUACUAUGUACUAACAAUAUGCAAAUAUACACUGCACAAUGACAUUACACAUUAACCUACUCCUGUUACAUUAUCCUUCUAUUAUUACACAAUAUAACGACUGCUAACAAUAUGUGUAUACACAAGUCAUAUGUAAACAGAAUAUCUAAACAGAAGCACACAUCACCGCACUUAAAAGUAACCCCUGCAUAGCCUGUGUCAGGCACAUGCUAAGCUGCUCGGUCUGAGUCACGACAUCUUCAGCUACAGAAUAACACAACCAGAUAUAAUUAUUAACAACAUUGUUUCAUUAGUUUAAUUCAUUAGUUUGAAUAAUUUAUUUUAAUAAAAACAAAGUCCAUUAACAUACAUACAUAUGGAUAUGUACAAACAAGAAAACUAAAAUUUGAAAAAUAAGGAAUUAAAAAAAAUAUAAAAUUCAGUCUUCCAACUCUAAUGACCAGAGUUUUGUUUUAAAACAUUUAUUAACUCUGCGACAACUCUUGUUAGGUAAUGGAUGGCAUGAAUUACUUCCCGGUGCUCCCGACGCUGUUCCUCUUCACGAUGUUGCCUGUGUUCUUCAGCAGCAUUCCUGUUUGCUAUGUUAGCAAUAAGAGUACUAAUUAGCUUAUUGCGCUCCCCUCGUGAUGGCCGUGAUGUCCUGGCAUCCGAAUCGGUGUCAAUCUUAAAAAAAAAAAUAUUUAUUAAAAACUACGUAAAGGCAUAUGUAUGUUUGUAUGUAUGGAUAUAUAUAUAUGGGCACAUGUAAAUGCAUAUGCAUUAUGCAAAUAUGUAUACAUAUACAUAUAUGCAUAACUAUGUAUUAUGUAUAGGUACUCAUAUAGAUACGAGUAUAUUGGUGCGAAUUCUUGGGCUCCAAAUUUAAAGUUUGUUAAAUUAUUAAAAAGUUCGUAUGAAGCUAAAAACUUGGGUUCAUAUGGCUUUUCUUUGCGAAUAAAUAAAAAAAACGUUAACUUCGGUUGCACCGAAGCUAAAUACCCUUCAUAGGUGCAUUUCUGUUAGUAACUAUGUGUUCAGUUUGUAUGAAAACUAUAUGCUAUAGCAAUCCGAUCUGAACAAUUUCUUCGGAGAUUACAUUGUUGGCUUAAAAAAAAAUCUAUACCAAAUUUCGUGAAUUUAUCUCGUCAAAUGUGAAAGUUUUCCAUACAAGAACUUGAUUCCGAUUGUUCAGUUUGUAUGGCAGCUAUAUGCUAUAGUAAUCCGAUCGGAACAAUUUCUUCGGAGAUUACAUUGUUGCCUUAAAAAAUAAUCUGUACCAGAUUUUGUGAAUUUAUCUCGUCAAAUGUGAAAAUUUUCCAUACAAGAACAUGAUUCCGAUCGUUCAGUUUGUAUGGCAGCUAUAUGCUAUAGUAAUCCGAUCGGAACAAUUUCUUCGGAGAUUACAUUGUUGCAUUAAAAAAUAAUCUAUACCAAAUUUCGUGAAUAUAUCUGGUCAAAUGUGAAAGUUUUCCAUACAAGAACUUGAUUCCGAUCGUUCAGUUUGUAUGGCAGCUAUAUGUUAUAGUGGUCCGAUAUCGGCAGUUCCGACAAAUGAGCAGCUUCUUGAAGAGAAAAUGACGUUUGCAAAAUUUCAAAACGAUAUCUUAAAAACUGAGGGACUAGUUUAGUUUGUAUAUAUACAGACAGACGGACGGACGGAGGGACGGACAGACAGACGGACAUGGCUAAAUCGACUCAGCUCGACAUACUGAUCAUUUAUAUAUAUACUUUAUAGAGUUUCCGACCCUUCCUUCUGGGUGUUACAAACAUCGUGACAAACUUAAUAUACCCUGUUCAGGGUAUAAAAAGAAAAAAAAGCCACUGCGUUUAACUAGUGGCCAGGGGUUUAUGUACUUGGAUACAUUGUAGAAUAAAAUAGAAAUUACAUACCUGAUUAUCCGGGCUAAAUAACGGUGAAUCAUAUGGAGAUUGUGCUGAAUUUGGCGAUUGUAGUGGGUUUGGCGAUGGCAGUGGGUUUGGCGAUGGUAGUGGACCUGGCGAUGGUAGUGGGUUUGACGAUGGUAGUGGGUUUGGCGAAGGUAGUGGGGUUGGCGACAAUAAUAGGCUUAGCAGUGGUGCUGAACUAGGCAGUCUACUUUCAGUAGAUGAUAUUAGACACUCAAUUAUCGACGAUUCUACAAUUUGUUUUCGCGGCAGCCCUAAACCAAAGCUUUCAAUAGUUUCCACUCCAUCCACAGCUACUGAUCCAAAAGCUGCCAAAGAUUUUUGCUCGAAAUCGGUCAACGGCUUGCCACAGGGCCCUCCUCCAGUGAGCCUCUGCUCCAUUUUUAAGCGCCUUGCCCGCGUACGUAGUUGACUCUUCCAAACACCCAUUGUCUGUAAAUCAAAAUCAUUUAACAAAUGUAGAAAAUAUCAGACGAAGUACCUCUUUCCACUUAGCUGCAGUACGAGAUGGCCCUCUGCACGCAUUGAACUGCUCCGCCAGCUGCCGCCACAAAUCCUGCAUUUGUCGAGGCGAUUUUGGCGUAUUUUUUCCUCUACCGAUUUCCGGAUGCGCCCGGCAAAAUAACGUAAGUUUUUAAUUGUUCCUGCGUAGCACGUUGGUUUUUUGGUUUCCUAUAAAUUGAAUUAAAUAUUAAACCAUAUAUUUCUUUAAAAUUAACAAUUAAUAAUAAUGAAUACUUACGUUGUUGAAGAAUCCAUUUCGCACUAAACAGCUGAUUUCUGUUUACAUUAUUUUGUUCACCACAGUAUGGUGAAAAGCGAUUCGCACUGAAGCUUUAAGUUUUAUCAAUAUUUGCACAGAAUAACAAAAAGCUUUUGGCUUGAUAAAAAUCUUGAUAAAUAAACAAUAUUUUGAUAAUUUGUUAAGUGCACAGAAUCGGUCUGUUAUACUUACACCCCUAUUCUGUGCAUAUGACAAAUUAAUAAAAUAUUGACAAUUAACUCAAAUAUUUAUCAAGCGAGAAAUAUUUUGGUAUUCUGUGACAAUCUUGAUAAAAGUAAAAGCUUCAAUUCGCAAAGCUUCUCCCCACACGUGUGGUGAACAAAAUAAUGUAAAUAAAAACAGCUGAUUUCUAUUCAAAUUAUAUUGAUAGCAAUAUGCGUGCAGUUAAUUGCUACUAUGAUGCUUUUUAUUCCAAAUUUUCUAAAAAAUCUGGAAUAUAUUUCAAAUAAAUUUACUUAAAUUAGUAUGUUAUUAAUACUUGCCCCGAUUUUAUAAAAUUUUCUUCCUCACUUUCACAAUAAGUUUUGCUACAGCCCGAAAUGGACGACUGACUCAUGGGCACGUCAACUUGCCUUGUUACCUACACAUUACUGGUAUGAGCCGUGUCCAAAGAAGUUCAAAGCUGCUAGAACUCUUAGAGUUAAAGGUAGUGAGGGUAAAUUUCACGAGUUAAUCGAAAAUUUUGCGCAAAGGUAUUCUCACUCAAAGAAAAUGGAUGGCUAUCAUCACGUAAACAUUUUAAAUGCCGCGCGCGAUUCCCAUUCUCACAAUUUUCAGCUUCGUUUAACAAUAAUAACAUAUCUUCCAUUUUUACAACAAGAUGCACAAACAGAUAUUUAAUUCAUAACGAGCACUGUCAAGAGCAUAUGACAUCUUAACAACUUAUAAAGAAAAGAACUUUUUAUUUCAGACACAGAAUACGAAAUGCUUCAUAAAUUUCAAAUUUUGACAAAUUAUAAAUAUGUUGAAUUUGUCAAGUGCACAGAAUAGGGGUGUUAGUAAUACAAAAAUAACAAAAUAGGUGAAGUGACAAAAACCAAAACAAAUUGCAAAGAAAAUCGAAGCAAAUACAAAUUACAACACAUGUGUUCAUAACAGGAAAAACCAUACGAGUGCUGUGAAAAAAAAAACAAAAACAGUGCAGUGAACAAGCAGAACAAUAAACAAAAACCAACAUUAUUAUAUGUAUAAUAUAUAAGAAAAAAAAAGAAAAAAAAUAAAGUGCAGUACAAUGCACUAAAAAUAUUACAUACAUUCGGACAUACACAGUAAAACAGUUCCAGCAAACAAACAAAAAAAAAAAACAACACAAACGUGCGAAAUUUAAAAACGUCUAAAUAAUAAAACACAACAAAACUACGCAAAAACGAAGCUAUCGGGCGCGAUAAUUAGAACAAAUACAUAUAUGUACAUGCAAUCAUCAUCAAGCUACCUGGUUGUCUCCGGAUCGAAAAACUACCAACCAGAUCGAUCAUGUUGUGAUAGACGGAAGACACGUCUCUAGUGUUUUAGAUGUGCGUGCGCUCCGAGGUCCUAACAUCGACUGGACCACUAUCUUUUUGCAGCCAAGAUUCGCACCCGCUUCUGUGCAGCAAAAAACACACGCCAAUAAACACAAGGAAGGUUCGACGUCAAGAAGCUGCAAUCACAACAGACAGCCGAACGCUUUUCUACUCGGCUUGCACCCCUGCUUUCUGAGAGCACUCGUCAACAACUCGGUAUAAGCGAACUGUCAUGGCAUUUCAAACUCCUUACGUACAGCUGCAACCGAAACCAUUGGCUUUCGGAAAGUGCAAAAGAACAGCUGGUACGACGAGGAGUGCCGUGUCGCAGCGGAGAGAAAAAAGACUGCCUACCUCUCAACGUUACGAUCGACCACAACACGUGAGGGAUGGGAUAGAUACCGAGAGCUGAAGAGGGAAGCGAGACGCAUCUGCAGACAGAAAAAGAAAGAGGCCGAAAUGCGUGAGUACGAAGAGCUGGAUAAGCUGGCCGACAGGGGUAAUGCUCGAAAAUUCUACGAAAAAAUGCGGCGGCUUACAGAAGGUUUCAAGACCGGAGCAUACUCUUGUAGAACCCCCAAAGGUGAUCUAGUCUCCGAUGCCCAGAGCAUACUUAAAUUAUGGAGGAAACACUUCUCCAGUCUGCUGAAUGGCAGUGAACGCACAACGCCAGGAGAAGGCGAACCCGAUUCCCCAAUCGAUGACGAUGGAGCAGACGUUCCAUUACCCGACCAUGAAGAAGUUGGAAUAGCAAUUGCCCGCCUGAAAAACAACAAAGCGGCAGGGGCCGACGGAUUGCCGGCCGAGCUAUUCAAACACGGCGGCGAAAAACUGAUAAGGAGCAUGCUUCAGCUUCUUUGUAAGAUAUGGUCGGACAAAAGCAUGCCCAACGAUUGGAAUUUAAGUGUGCUCUGCCCAAUCCUUAAAAAAGGAGACAAUCUGCGCCAACUACCGUGGGAUUAGCCUCCUCAACAUCGCAUAUCAGGUUCUAUCGAGCGUAUUGUGUGAAAGAUUAAAGCCCACCGUCAACAAACUGAUUGGGUCUUAUCAGUGUGGCUUUAGACCUGAAAUCAACAACCGACCAGAUAUUCACCAUGCGCCAAAUCUUGGAAAAUACCCGUGAAAGGAGAAUCGCGACUUGCUCUCUCGUCACUGUUGACAGUCAUAACUUUGAAGUUGUAGAUAAUUUCGUCUAUCUUGGAACUAGCGUCAAUAACAACGUUAGCCUCGAAAUCCAACGAAGGAUUACUCUUGCCAUCAGGUGCUACUUCGGACUGAGUAGGCAAUUGAAAAGUAAAGUCCUCUCUCGACGAACAAAAGCCGAACUCUAUAAGUCGCUCAUAAUUCCCGUCCUGCUAUAUGGUGCAGAGGCUUGGACGAUGUCAACAACGGAUGACUCGGCGUUGCGAGUUUUCGAGAGAAAAGUUCUGCGAAAGAUUUAUGGUCCUUUGCGCGUUGGUAACGGCGAAUACCGCAUUCGAUGGAACGAUGAGCUGUAUGAGUUAUACGACGACAUUGACAUAGUUCAGCGAAUUAAAAGACAGCGGCUACGCUGGCUAGGUCAUGUUGUCCGGAUGGACGAAAACACUCCAGCUUUGAAAAUAUUCGACGCAGUACCCGCCACGGAAAGCAGAGGAAGAGGAAGACCUUCACUCCGUUGGAAGGACCAAGUGGAGAAGGACCUGGCUUCGCUAGGAAUAUCAAAUUGGCGCCACGUAGCGAAAAGAAGAAACGACAAAGGACUACUAAGUGAGCGUAGACAUUUAAUAUUUUAUAUGCAUAUACAGUGUAAUCCAUUUAUAAUGGACUCGCUUAAGAUGGAAACUCUGUUAUUAUGUACCUCUUUGUCAAGUCCCAGUUCAAACAUAUGUAAAAAACUCGGUUAAAAUAUACGCGGUUAUAAUGGACUCCGGUUAUAAUAGACAAUAAAAUCGGAUUUUGUCCAUUAUAACCGAGGCUUUCAAAAUCAAAUUUCAAAAUAAAGUUGGCAAUCAGUUGGCAAUAAGCAAAAUUUUGUACUUCCCCAAAUUCGAUCAAGAGACACAAUCAGUCUCUGCAGCAGAAAAUGUUCAUUUUUUCUUGGAAAUAAGUCAAAGAAGUCAAACAACUUCUGCGGUGGGCUGAAAGUGGCAUUCGUUGGCUUUUCAUUGUUCAAAUGCAAUCAAUUUGCUCAAUAAACUCGAAAUCAAACUACAAAAAGAUUUCAGGCAUUCACCCAAAAGAAAAUCACUGACUUUUUUCAAUAGACUUAAUUAAACUUAUUAUUUUCUUAAUUUUGUAUUUUUAUUCAUAAACUUUAUUGCUUGAAUAAAAAAACACAUUGAAUUUACUUUUUGAGUUAAAAAUUUUAUUUUCUGAUUAGAUGGACACUCGGUUAUAAUGAACAAUUUGACAUGGUCCCGUGGAGUCCAUUAUAACCGGAUUACACUGUACAUAUGUAUGUAUAGACAUGAAAAAAUAACCUAUAUAUAAUAACCAAGGGCAUAAACAUAUGUAAAUUAGGAUUAUAACAUAAAAAACAAGACAAGAGAGGCAAAAAAUACAAACAUAGAUACAUAUAAGCCCCUUCACCUUUUUUCAAUUCCGUCUCCGCGAUCUCUUCUCAGACAUAUAUAAAUACCCAGCGGGAUAAUGGUUCCCCGCUUACAUUUUUCUUUGAAGAAUGCUUCGAAGAAAAUUCUAUGUAGAAUUCUUCGAUACCAGGUAAUGCAUAAAAGUAGCUAUGCGGCUAAAUUCUACUGUGUUCAUAUUUACAAGUUAAGUAAGUACAUGAAAAACGACAAAUAAAAAUUGAUGAAAUAAAACUUAUAAGUAAAUUUUUUCAUUAUUUCGUCAAAUCAUUAGGCAAAAAGUUGAUUACUAUUUGGUAAGUUUUUCGUGUUUUUAACAUUGAAAGACAUAGAUUCAAAUUUAUAAACAUACACUUUCAACUUUUUUGUAGAAUGUG